UACAGAGGUGGCAAGCGUUGUUCGGAAUUACUGGGCGUAAAGGGCUCGUAGGUGGCCAACUAAGUCAGACGUGAAAUCCCUCGGCUUAACCGGGGAACUGCGUCUGAUACUGGAUGGCUUGAGAUUGGGAGAGGGAUGCGGAAUUCCAGGUGUAGCGGUGAAAUGCGUAGAUAUCUGGAGGAACACCGGUGGCGAAGGCGGCAUCCUGGACCAACACUGACGCUGAGGAGCGAAAGCGUGGGGAGCGAACAGG
This 253-nucleotide ribosomal RNA is filed under the name uncultured bacterium. RNAcentral describes it as "partial 16S ribosomal RNA". It matches the Rfam family "Bacterial small subunit ribosomal RNA", at positions 524 to 776 of the family's 1533-position model. The record is from RNAcentral.